GACGAACGCUGGCGGCGUGCCUAAUACAUGCAAGUUGAGCGAUGAAGAUUGGUGCUUGCCCCAAUUUGAAGAGCAGCGAACGGGUGAGUAACGCGUGGGGAAUCUGCCUUUGAGCGGGGGACAACAUUUGGAAACGAAUGCUAAUACCGCAUAACAACUUUAAACAUAAGUUUUAAGUUUGAAAGAUGCAAUUGCAUCACUCAAAGAUGAUCCCGCGUUGUAUUAGCUAGUUGGUGAGGUAAAGGCUCACCAAGGCGAUGAUACAUAGCCGACCUGAGAGGGUGAGCGGCCACAUUGGGAAUGAGACACGGCCCAAACUCCUACGGGAGGCAGCAGUAGGGAAUCUUCGGCAAUGGACGAAAGUCUGACCGAGCAACGCCGCGUGAGUGAAGAAGGGUUUCGGAUCGUAAAACUCUGUUGGUAGAGAAGAACGUUGGUGAGAGUGGAAAGCUCAUCAAGUGACGGUAACUACACAGAAAGGGACGGCUAACUACGUG
RNAcentral lists this ribosomal RNA (497 nucleotides) under uncultured bacterium. RNAcentral's name for it is "partial 16S ribosomal RNA". It matches the Rfam family "Bacterial small subunit ribosomal RNA", at positions 28 to 507 of the family's 1533-position model. The record is from RNAcentral.